CUACGGGGUGCUGCAGUGGGGAAUAUUGCACAAUGGGCGCAAGCCUGAUGCAGCCAUGCCGCGUGUAUGAAGAAGGCCUUCGGGUUGUAAAGUACUUUCAGCGGGGAGGAAGGGAGUAAAGUUAAUACCUUUGCUCAUUGACGUUACCCGCAGAAGAAGCACCGGCUAACUCCGUGCCAGCAGCCGCGGUAAUACGGAGGGUGCAAGCGUUAAUCGGAAUUACUGGGCGUAAAGCGCACGCAGGCGGUUUGUUAAGUCAGAUGUGAAAUCCCCGGGCUCAACCGGGGAACUGCAUCUGAUACUGGCAAGCGUGAGUCUCGUAGAGGGGGGUAGAAUUCCAGGUGUAGCGGUGAAAUGCGUAGAGAUCUGGAGGAAUACCGGUGGCGAAGGCGGCCCCCUGGACGAAGACUGACGCUCAGGUGCGAAAGCGUGGGGAGCAAACAGGAUUAGAUACCCGUGUAGUC
Molecule: ribosomal RNA, 464 nt
Filed under: uncultured bacterium
Lineage: Bacteria
Description: partial 16S ribosomal RNA
Rfam family: Bacterial small subunit ribosomal RNA
Source: RNAcentral